This 443-nucleotide ribosomal RNA is filed under the name uncultured bacterium. Its description in RNAcentral is "bacterial SSU rRNA". It matches the Rfam family "Bacterial small subunit ribosomal RNA", at positions 338 to 795 of the family's 1533-position model. The record is from RNAcentral.
CCUACGGGUGGCUGCAGUGGGGAAUUUUCCGCAAUGGGCGAAAGCCUGACGGAGCAAUACCGCGUGAGGGAGGAAGGCUCUUGGGUCGUAAACCUCUUUUCUCAGGGAAGAACAAAAUGACGGUACCUGAGGAAUAAGCAUCGGCUAACUCUGUGCCAGCAGCCGCGGUAAUACAGAGGAUGCAAGCGUUAUCCGGAAUGAUUGGGCGUAAAGCGUCCGUAGGUGGUUUGUCAAGUCUGUGGUUAAAGCGUGGAGCUUAACUCCAUAAAGGCCAUGGAAACUGACAGACUAGAGUUAAGUAGGGGUAGAGGGAAUUCCCAGUGUAGCGGUGAAAUGCGUAGAGAUUGGGAAGAACACCGGUGGCGAAAGCGCUCUACUGGACUUAUACUGACACUGAGGGACGAAAGCUAGGGGAGCGAAAGGGAUUAGAUACCCAAGUAGUC